AAUUCAGUUUGUUAUUGGUAUGAGCUUUCGUGUGCAUGCACACUUCUUCAGAUAUCUGAAGAAGUGUGCAUGCACACGAAAGCUCAUACCAAUAACAAACUUAGUUGG
Molecule: microRNA precursor, 108 nt
Filed under: Podarcis lilfordi (Lilford's wall lizard)
Lineage: Eukaryota; Metazoa; Chordata; Lepidosauria; Squamata; Lacertidae
Source: RNAcentral